GUCGGGAAUUUUGGGCAAUGGGCGAAAGCCUGACCCAGCAACGCCGCGUGAGGGAUGAAGGCCCUCGGGUCGUAAACCUCUGUCGGAAGGGAAGAACGACCGCAAGGUGAAUAAUCUUGGGGUCUGACGGUACCUUCAAAGGAAGCGCCGGCUAACUCCGUGCCAGCAGCCGCGGUAAUACGGAGGGCGCAAGCGUUGUUCGGAAUCAUUGGGCGUAAAGCGCGUGUAGGCGGCUUGGCAAGUCGGAUGUGAAAUCCCGGGGCUCAACCCCGGAACUGCAUUCGAAACUGCCUCGCUAGAGUCCCGGAGAGGAGGGCGGAAUUCCCGGUGUAGAGGUGAAAUUCGUAGAUAUCGGGAGGAACACCAGUGGCGAAGGCGGCCCUCUGGACGGUGACUGACGCUGAGAUGCGAAAGCGUGGGGAGCAAACAGGAUUAGAAACCCGAGUAGUCC
RNAcentral lists this ribosomal RNA (451 nucleotides) under uncultured bacterium. Its description in RNAcentral is "bacterial SSU rRNA". It matches the Rfam family "Bacterial small subunit ribosomal RNA", at positions 354 to 796 of the family's 1533-position model. The record is from RNAcentral.